This 477-nucleotide ribosomal RNA is filed under the name uncultured bacterium. Its description in RNAcentral is "partial 16S ribosomal RNA". It matches the Rfam family "Bacterial small subunit ribosomal RNA", at positions 899 to 1397 of the family's 1533-position model. The record is from RNAcentral.
ACUCAAAGGAAUUGACGGGGGCCCGCACAAGCAGCGGAGCGUGUGGUUUAAUUCGACGCAACACGCAGAACCUUACCCAGACUGGACAUGCCACUGCAAGUUGGUGAAAGCCAAUCGCCUUCGAGGGUGUGGCACAGAUGCUGCAUGGCUGUCGUCAGCUCGUGUCGUGAGAUGUUGGGUUCAGUCCCGCAACGAGCGCAACCCCUGCGACCAGUUACUCGUGUCUGGUCGGACGGCCCUUCGGGGAGGAAGGCGGGGAUGACGUCAAGUCCGCAUGGCUCUUACGUCUGGGGCGACACACACGCUACAAUGGCCGACGCAAUGCGUUGCUCCGGUGCAAGCCGUUGCUAAUCGCCAAGGUCGGUCUCAGUGCAGAUCGGGGGCUGCAACUCGCCCCCGUGAAGGCGGAGUUGCUAGUAACCGCGUAUCAGCGAUGGCGCGGUGAAUACGUACCCGGGCCUUGUACACACCGCCCGU